RNAcentral lists this ribosomal RNA (476 nucleotides) under uncultured bacterium. Its description in RNAcentral is "bacterial SSU rRNA". It matches the Rfam family "Bacterial small subunit ribosomal RNA", at positions 40 to 497 of the family's 1533-position model. The record is from RNAcentral.
CGGCGUGCUUGAUACAUGCAAGUCAAGGAGAACAUUAUCUUCGGAUAAUAAGUAAACUGGCGAACGGGUGAGUAACGCGUAAACAACUUGCCUCAGAGAUUGGGACAACAUUGGGAAACCAGUGCUAAUACCAAAUAAUGCAGCGGGCUCUUCGGAGCACAGUUGUUAAAGUAGGCUUCGGCUUACACUUUGAGAUAGGUUUGCGUCCGAUUAGUUAGUUGGUAGGGUAAAAGCCUACCAAGACCAAGAUCGGUAGCUGGUCUGAGAGGAUGAUCAGCCACACUGGAAUUGAGAUACGGUCCAGACUCCUACGGGAGGCAGCAGUAAGGAAUUUUGCACAAUGGGCGAAAGCCUGAUGCAGCAACGCCGCGUGAACGAUGAAGUUUUUAGGAAUGUAAAGUUCUGUCGUAUGGGAAGAGAUCUUUCGAAUGUUAAUACCAUUCGUUAAUGACGGUACCAUACAAGAAAGCACCGGC